RNAcentral lists this ribosomal RNA (203 nucleotides) under Vibrio parahaemolyticus. RNAcentral's name for it is "partial 16S ribosomal RNA". It matches the Rfam family "Bacterial small subunit ribosomal RNA", at positions 686 to 888 of the family's 1533-position model. Lineage: Bacteria; Pseudomonadati; Pseudomonadota; Gammaproteobacteria; Vibrionales; Vibrionaceae. The record is from RNAcentral.
AUGCGUAGAGAUCUGAAGGAAUACCGGUGGCAAUGGCGGCCUGCUGGACAGAUACUGACACUCAGAUGCGGAAGCGUGGGGAGCAAACAGGAUUAGAUACCCUCUUAGUCCACGCCGUAAACGAUGUCUACUUGGAGGUUGUGGCCUUGAGCCGUGGCUUUCGGACGUAACGCGUUAAGUAGACCGCCUGGGGAGUACAAGUG